This is a long non-coding RNA of Gadus macrocephalus (Pacific cod), 1958 nucleotides long. RefSeq lists it as uncharacterized. The transcript is spliced from 2 exons. Lineage: Eukaryota; Metazoa; Chordata; Actinopteri; Gadiformes; Gadidae. The record is from RefSeq and is a predicted model, not a curated record.
GAGAGAGAGAGAGACAAUGAGACCAGGCUGGCUUAUAUCACCUUGGGUAGAGGCCUAGCCAGGUGUGAGCAACUUGCCCUAACGACCCUCGCUUUCAGCCAACUCCUGCAGGAAGUAAUCAGCUGCCGAAAGGGAGGGGUCGUAACAGAGUACUAAAUUAAAGGACUAAUGCACUACGACUGACACUAAUGAGUUAUCGCAUGAAAACUAACAGAAUGACGCAUCUAACCCCGCAUGAAAUGCUUACGGGUCGACCCAUGCCUUCACCUGUCAUUCGAGGGCCUCAUAAAGGACCUCCAUUAGAACAAUUGGAAACUGAAUUAAGACGCUAUAUGAGACAACUAACUGGCAUACACAGGCUUAUUUUUCAACAGGAGAAAGACAGAGUUCCAGAGUUGGAGAAGGAGCCACCAAGGGGGGUGGAGCCAGGUGACCAAGUGUACCUAAGGGUGUUCAGGAGAAAGUGGAACGAGCCCAGGAGAGAAGGGCCAUACAAAGUCACCAACGCAACACCAACAGCCAUCCAGGUGGAAGGAAGUGCCACAUGGUAUCACCUCAACCACUGCACAAAAGCCGCUCCACCUAAAACCAGGGAUGAGCGUGAGGAGGAGCCAGAUGUAGACACGCCUGGGGCUGACCAACUACCCUAGGACCAGACCCAGCCGAGUCAGGAGCGACAGCCACACAAUGAUGCUGAAAGUGAUCUAUGAUAGCAUCUAGGCUCUCAAGGGAGAUGACCCUUAGGGUAACUGGCAUAGAUGAGUCAAAUGAUUGGGAGUGGAAGCUCUAUGGAAAAGUGCUUCAGAGCGAACCUGAAGAGGAGAGUGGACUGUGAUAUAUCAAACACCAGGUGGAGGCUCACACGAUGUGCUAGUAACCUCUCCAUGUGAGCCGGCCUCGUGAUCUACGAGGCUUGAUUUCAGUCAUCAGGAGCAACAUCUAUCACAAUGUCCAAAACCCCCCACUCGUAUCCUGCGCACCAAUACAUGAAGAUCACCUGAGCCAUUCAAAUCCAUGCAAGCAUGCAGACAAUCUCAAAUUUCUAAAAACGGUAUUAUGAUGAAACAUCCGUUUUUGAGUGUAUUAUUAUGACGCAUAUUAUUAUGUCACGUAUUUCUUUAAAUGUAUAUUAUUGGGUCACAUUUUUUUGUAUAAUAUUGGGUCACACAUUUUUGAAAUGUAUAAUAUGAUGUCACAUAUUUUUGAAAUGCCAAUUUUCAAUGCAUGCUGAAUGAUUGAUUAUUAUGCUGUUUAUGAUUAUUAUGUAGGUAUUCUAGAUACACAUUUGAUAUAGUUGCAUGAUGAAUAUAGAAUAUUGUGUUAUUAUGAUUAGAAAGGUUUUAUGAUUACAUAUGAACAACUUGUAGGGAUUAGAGUGUUAAUAAUACGCUGCAUUUGGUAAAUCUUUUUGGCCUAAAAUCAGGUUGAAAUCCCUGUCGAAGCUUUUUACCGAGGUUUUUACCGAUGACCAGAUGUGGUGUCAAUUUGGCAAGGGCUUAGCAGCAUAUAGGCUUAGCAAUAAUUCAAGUAAUUUGUUGGAACCUUAUCGGCCCCAACAAGGGGGGAUAUGUGGGAGAAAUUAACCAUUACUUUUAUAUUAACUAUGAGUAUUAUCAGGCCUAUAUACAUCAGGCAUAAACAUUAAUGUGGAAAAGUAGAGAAACCACACCUGGACCCAGAGUAAUGGCCUGAUAAGGCGCCAAGGACUUUGGGGCCCAGGCUACUGUCAUCCUCCCAUUUUUAGAUUAACUACAGGAGAUGAGCACAUACGUAAGGGAAUGUAAGGCCAUUUUGAACAUAUACCAGGACGGUCAUAUAUUACAUGCAUGACAGCACAGUUGGUGUGGAUAAGAGGGACUGGGAUCGGAGCCCCAGUCAGUGUGUCUUUUGCAAAACCACAUGCUCGGUUCUGUUGUACCUAUUUUGUGGGUAACAAUAAAAUCUCUGUCAUUAUUUUU